UCCUAACCAUUGGAAUAUUCAAAGA
RNAcentral lists this unclassified non-coding RNA (25 nucleotides) under Mus musculus (house mouse). RNAcentral's name for it is "oocyte_clustered_small_RNA1794". The record is from RNAcentral. Lineage: Eukaryota; Metazoa; Chordata; Mammalia; Rodentia; Muridae.